This 1676-nucleotide ribosomal RNA is filed under the name Salmonella enterica. RNAcentral's name for it is "partial 23S ribosomal RNA". It matches the Rfam family "Bacterial large subunit ribosomal RNA", at positions 1271 to 2925 of the family's 2925-position model. The record is from RNAcentral. RNAcentral also lists the same sequence under 3 other names. Lineage: Bacteria; Pseudomonadati; Pseudomonadota; Gammaproteobacteria; Enterobacterales; Enterobacteriaceae.
UGCUGGAGGUAUCAGAAGUGCGAAUGCUGACAUAAGUAACGAUAAAGCGGGUGAAAAGCCCGCUCGCCGGAAGACCAAGGGUUCCUGUCCAACGUUAAUCGGGGCAGGGUGAGUCGACCCCUAAGGCGAGGCCGAAAGGCGUAGUCGAUGGGAAACGGGUUAAUAUUCCCGUACUUGGUGUUACUGCGAAGGGGGGACGGAGAAGGCUAUGUUGGCCGGGCGACGGUUGUCCCGGUUUAAGCGUGUAGGUGUGUGUUCCAGGUAAAUCCGGUUCACUUUAACACUGAGGCGUGACGACGAGGCACUACGGUGCUGAAGCAACAAAUGCCCUGCUUCCAGGAAAAGCCUCUAAGCAUCAGGUAACAUCAAAUCGUACCCCAAACCGACACAGGUGGUCAGGUAGAGAAUACCAAGGCGCUUGAGAGAACUCGGGUGAAGGAACUAGGCAAAAUGGUGCCGUAACUUCGGGAGAAGGCACGCUGACAUGUAGGUGAAGUGAUUUACUCAUGGAGCUGAAGUCAGUCGAAGAUACCAGCUGGCUGCAACUGUUUAUUAAAAACACAGCACUGUGCAAACACGAAAGUGGACGUAUACGGUGUGACGCCUGCCCGGUGCCGGAAGGUUAAUUGAUGGGGUCAGCGCAAGCGAAGCUCCUGAUCGAAGCCCCGGUAAACGGCGGCCGUAACUAUAACGGUCCUAAGGUAGCGAAAUUCCUUGUCGGGUAAGUUCCGACCUGCACGAAUGGCGUAAUGAUGGCCAGGCUGUCUCCACCCGAGACUCAGUGAAAUUGAACUCGCUGUGAAGAUGCAGUGUACCCGCGGCAAGACGGAAAGACCCCGUGAACCUUUACUAUAGCUUGACACUGAACAUUGAGCCUUGAUGUGUAGGAUAGGUGGGAGGCUUUGAAGCGUGGACGCCAGUCUGCAUGGAGCCGACCUUGAAAUACCACCCUUUAAUGUUUGAUGUUCUAACGUGGACCCGUAAUCCGGGUUGCGGACAGUGUCUGGUGGGUAGUUUGACUGGGGCGGUCUCCUCCUAAAGAGUAACGGAGGAGCACGAAGGUUGGCUAAUCCUGGUCGGACAUCAGGAGGUUAGUGCAAUGGCAUAAGCCAGCUUGACUGCGAGCGUGACGGCGCGAGCAGGUGCGAAAGCAGGUCAUAGUGAUCCGGUGGUUCUGAAUGGAAGGGCCAUCGCUCAACGGAUAAAAGGUACUCCGGGGAUAACAGGCUGAUACCGCCCAAGAGUUCAUAUCGACGGCGGUGUUUGGCACCUCGAUGUCGGCUCAUCACAUCCUGGGGCUGAAGUAGGUCCCAAGGGUAUGGCUGUUCGCCAUUUAAAGUGGUACGCGAGCUGGGUUUAGAACGUCGUGAGACAGUUCGGUCCCUAUCUGCCGUGGGCGCUGGAGAACUGAGGGGGGCUGCUCCUAGUACGAGAGGACCGGAGUGGACGCAUCACUGGUGUUCGGGUUGUCAUGCCAAUGGCACUGCCCGGUAGCUAAAUGCGGAAGAGAUAAGUGCUGAAAGCAUCUAAGCACGAAACUUGCCCCGAGAUGAGUUCUCCCUGAGACUUAAAGUCUCCUGAAGGAACGUUGAAGACGACGACGUUGAUAGGCCGGGUGUGUAAGCGCAGCGAUGCGUUGAGCUAACCGGUACUAAUGAACCGUGAGGCUUAACCUU